CGCAGUUAUUUGCAAUACUCUGGUAUAGACAAUAAACACACAAACCUAUGAAAGCUCUUAAUUUAAAUCCUACUUUUGUUCCUUAAUCUUCACAAGGUGUAGAGAAAGCCUGAGAAAGCGUGGAUGUCAAACAAGCCAUCCGUAGCCUGGAACUAUCCCACAUAAUGUGCUUAGUGGUCUGCUGCUUGUUCAAGGCAAAAUUGAGGCUUGCAGCAUGACAUUGUCUGAAGAUUUCACAGAUACCAAAGAGCUCAGCCCCCCUGCGGCCUGUGGGGCAGAAAGUGCUGUUCUGGUGGAGCACCAGAGGAGCAGAGAAUAUCAACCAGGUCUCCUCCUUCAUAGUCCCAUAUUUACAUUAACAAUCUUCUUUUUGUAUGUUGUAGUGAAAUUGGUGCUGCUCUAAAUGCAUGAGAAAAAUGAGGUUUGUGACAGGAAGGUGAAGCUCAGGAGAGGACUGUACCAACACGGAUGGUCUGGAUAAUAACCUGUGCUGGUGUGGGAACAUUUUCAGGGAUCUGGUUCCCCAUUUUAAAUGACAUAUCUUUAAAACGGGACUGACAAACCUGGCUGUGUAAAGGUUUCAUUUUUCUUUCUCUUUUUAUAAAUAUUCAAAAAUCACUGGUUUUCUUUCUGGGUAAAGAUUAUAUAUACCUUAUUCCAGACUUUUUUGUAUUCUUUCUCCUUGUGCUUCCUUUUAGCCAUGUCAGUAACACUCAUGGCUGUAGCUGUGUUUCUGACAGAAGCCUGAGGGGUGCACACACCGUUUGCCUCUGUGGGCACAUCUUUCCCAGCAACUUUUAUCCUCUUUGCUCCUGUGCUUCCUACAAAUAAUCAAAAAGUAGUUUUCCCUUUUUUUUUUUUUUUAAACUGUUAUUUCUGUGCCCAGUUCUUAUAUCUGAGAUGAUUUUCCUUGAAAAUCUAAUUUGACUAAAGACUGCUCCCUAAAUUUCUACGAUCUCAUCUCGUGACACGGUAGCGCUCCUAUCAAAGAGUAUACGAGGCUCGUGCUGUCAGUCUGGAUUCAGAGACGUCCAAGUCAGCUCCAGAAACACAGAGUAAGGGAGGGAGGUGGUCCAGCGCUGUCCGUCCACAUGGACACACUCAUUUCAUGAAAGGAUGAUUCUGAGUCUCAAUACCUGGUUACAAGGGGAAAACUUUAACCGAAACAGUUAUCCUCGGGCACUUGCCGGUGCCUCGCGAUCCCUAUCAUAAACGAUGCAAUGCAUUCCUAUAACUGUCUGUAUAACUGCUUGCAAUUCAGUCCCUGGAGUCUGGCUGAAGCCUUCCGCAGAAAGGAAAUAACGAGUCUGAUUUAGGAAAGAAAUCAGAAGAAAUAGCUACCACUGAUAAGAAGUUAUUGAAAGCGAAGCCCAGGAUCCCCUGCCAGCUGGCAUGCUGACUUAUCAACCAGAUUUUCAUCAAACGGAUUUGGAUCAUUUUGUAGUGAGAUGCAGGAGUGUACGCUUGGGCUGAAAUAACUAAUCAGCUCAAGUUUUGUGUUAAAUAACUACUCAGCUACAGUUACUGCGUCAGUCCUGC
Molecule: long non-coding RNA, 1539 nt
Organism: Cuculus canorus (common cuckoo)
Lineage: Eukaryota; Metazoa; Chordata; Aves; Cuculiformes; Cuculidae
Exons: 3
Source: RefSeq, a predicted model, not a curated record